Equus caballus (horse) is the source of this 1886-nucleotide long non-coding RNA. RefSeq lists it as uncharacterized. NCBI's taxonomy places the organism in Eukaryota, Metazoa, Chordata, Mammalia, Perissodactyla, Equidae. The record is from RefSeq and is a predicted model, not a curated record.
UUAUAGAACUCAUAUCCUUUGGUUAUAUGCCAACGCAUGGGAUUGGUCUGCACAUUUUUAAUUUGGUGGGUAUUGUCGGUUUGCCAUCCACAGAGGCUGGUGCAGCGUGAGGGACGGCCUGUUCCUUCUUCUGCGUGGAAGCACUCAGCUUAGCACAGCUCCUAGUGUAGACUGACACAUUAAAACCACGUGCCCCUGCUCCAGAGGUCAUAAGAAAAUGCUUCGGGAGCCCUGAAGCCCCACUUGGAGCAAGCGAUUAUGAUUUUGCCAUCCUGCCUCACCAGAAGGAUCAGGCGAGAGUGAGGAGGAGCAGGGAAAACCACCUCCAUCCCCAGAGAAGCCUCGAUAAUUAGUAAUAAUAACCCCUUCCGUCACGUCGCUCUGGCCUUUCUAAAGCACUCUGACGUGCACCAGUGGUUCUCAGCCCAGCUUGCAUUAGGGUUCUCUGGGGAACUUUCCAGAAAUACCAAUGUCAGGGCCCCACCCCCAUGAUUCUUAUUUAAUUAUUCUUGGGUGGAGCCUAAGCAUCAGUAUUUUAUAAGCUCGCCAGACAAUUCUAGUGUGAGGCCAAGGCUGGGAGCCAGUGAUAACCCGGAACAUCAUCCCCUGACGUGGGAGAAACUGGAGCCUCUGACGCCCAUCCUUUCUGCUUCUGCGGCCCCAAUACCCAAGGAUCAGUGUGGUUACGUGUCACUCCAGCCUGGAGUCAUGAAAAGACAGUGGGCUGUGAGGCCCCACAGAUCCCAGCAGACCACUGGCCUCUCCACUUCCUGGCUUUGUGAUGCCGAACACGCUGCUUGGCAACAAUCAUGCAGUGGAAAUUUCUCCCAGGUCGAAGAAGGAGCCUCAGCCAGGAAAUUAGGGUGUCUGCUAGCUCCUGCCGUGUGUCUCUGGACAAGCUGAGUCACCUCUCUGGUCUGUGGUUUCCCUCCACAGUCAAAUGAGGGGUUUGAGUUAUCUCAGUGUUUUUCCAAACACUAGUCUGUAAAACAGAGCAUGCCACAAGAUGUAAAUAUUUAUUAUUCAGAAAAAAAAAUUUCUUUUGAAAGGUUACAUGGCCUAAUAAGUUUGGGCAAUGCUGGAUUCAAGUUAAGUGUCGUUUGUUUGCCAACAUGUGCUAUGUGUCAUCACUAUUACAACACAGUGCCCUGUGGCCCUCGAAGAGGAGGCUAGCUUUUCAUGGCACAUUUGUCAAUGUCUUUUGGAGCACAGGGCUUCCCAGGAGCUUGGAAUGGGAAACCGAGGAGGGUGGGUCCCAAGUCUCUUCUGCCCUUACUCUCUGGGACUUCUGGGACUCUAAGACUCAAGGAAUAAAGGAGACAGCUCUUGAGACAUCCUCUUAGCCAUAAGACUUAGACCACUCGCUUCCCCAAAAUGUCCCCAUGCUCAUGUUUAGGGGCUCCCUCAGACCGGACCCAGUGUCCAUCUUGGGGUCUGAUUUUGCCACUCGGCCAGGAAGCUUGCGCCGACCACACCAAAGCUCACCACGCCCUGCCUCGCUGCCCCGGCCAGCCCUUGCUCCCUUCAGCCCAACAGGCUCCUCCCAGGUGAGCCCAUUUCUUUAUCCUUCCCAGUGCAUCAUUCCCAGGCUUACCGCCACAAAGCCUUGCUCAGAGGCAGCAGUCUCAGUGCCCUGGAAGGAGCCCAGUCUUGGAAUCAGAGCCAGAUUCAAAUUCUGUCUUUGCGACUUCCUUGUUAUGUGGUUCUCAGCCAGCGGCUGAACUUUCCUAAUACAGACUGAGCAAUGGUCGUGGUCCUCACUGACUAGACUUAGGGUAAAGAUGAAAAGGGCCUGACAUUUUGCUUGGCUUAAGUUCCCUGGAAAACAAAGCCUGAGGCAAAGGCUGGUGUGCUCCUGCCUUUUUAAGGAGUGCAACUCCUGGGAC